This 510-nucleotide ribosomal RNA is filed under the name uncultured bacterium. Its description in RNAcentral is "partial 16S ribosomal RNA". It matches the Rfam family "Bacterial small subunit ribosomal RNA", at positions 28 to 507 of the family's 1533-position model. The record is from RNAcentral.
GACGAACGCUGGCGGCGUGCUUAACACAUGCAAGUCGAACGAAGAGCGAUGGAAGCUUGCUUCUAUCAAUCUUAGUGGCGAACGGGUGAGUAACGCGUAAUCAACCUGCCCUUCAGAGGGGGACAACAGUUGGAAACGACUGCUAAUACCGCAUACGAUCUAAUCUCGGCAUCGAGGAUAGAUGAAAGGUGGCCCCUACAUGUAAGCUAUCACUGAAGGAGGGGAUUGCGUCUGAUUAGCUAGUUGGAGGGGUAACGGCCCACCAAGGCGAUGAUCAGUAGCCGGUCUGAGAGGAUGAACGGCCACAUUGGGACUGAGACACGGCACAGACUCCUACGGGAGGCAGCAGUGGGGAAUCUUCCGCAAUGGACGAAAGUCUGACGGAGCAACGCCGCGUGAGUGAUGACGGCCUUCGGGUUGUAAAGCUCUGUUAAUCGGGACGAAAGGCCUUCUUGCGAAUAGUGAGAAGGAUUGACGGUACCGGAAUAGAAAGCCACGGCUAACUACGUG